Pteropus alecto (black flying fox) is the source of this 4065-nucleotide long non-coding RNA. RefSeq lists it as uncharacterized. The record is from RefSeq and is a predicted model, not a curated record. The transcript has 3 exons. Lineage: Eukaryota; Metazoa; Chordata; Mammalia; Chiroptera; Pteropodidae.
CUGCGCCGGUCGUCAGGCAGGCAGCGCCGCGGGCAGCCCCGCGGGCGGAGCUGGAGGGCGGGGCUCGCCCCUGUAGCGCACGUCCGGAUUUGUCUUCGGUGACAGACCUUUCACCUAGAAUUUGUGGAGCAGGCUGAAAUAAACCCUAAAGAAAAAAGUUCUAAGGUUUCAUCUGGUUGAGAAUCCUGGUGGCUUAAUCUGUGGGAUCUCUGAAAGCUCCUAAACGAAGAUAUGGCAGCGGCUCAAGACUCUUGUGGGCAUCAGAAGAGAUGACAUAUGCGAGACUAUUUCAAUUCUUAAGGACCAUACGAGUUUUCUUUAUUAUCAUCUGCACCAAUAGUGUCCCUAUAAAAAGGCUUUGGAUCCUUGAAAAUGAAAAUGAGGUUGUGUAUGGUGUGGUCAAAGUGUCAACGGUAGAUUGGGAAGCAAAUGCGAAAUCUUGCACUGGUCUACCUGUUGUGUUAGUGGUUCUCAAUUUAAUCAGCACCAACAUCUAUAUAUGCUAUCAGCUUUAAAAAAAUACUGUUCUAUAAUAAAAACCAUGGAUAAUAUAACCCAUCUACACACAAUUUAAAAACAAAACAAGAAAAUAUGCCAGUUAUAAUGUAAAAGAGAAACAUUGCAAAAUAGCACAAUAUAUAGUUCAAAAUAUAAAAGCUAAAAUGUGUUCACAGUAGAAAAUACAAAGAAGUAGUUAUUUGCUUGUACACAUAACUGUAAUUGCAAAAGCUGCAAACACUAGGUGUGUUCUAUUGGUUCCUCGAGCAUCAAAGGGCUUAUUGUUGGUAGUAUGAUUUUUCCAAAAUGAUGUACACCUUCUUGGUAAAAGUUCUGACUAUAUCUUCCAUUGUUUUUCACACAGAAGAAUUCUUAGAAAUUUUAGUCCAUAUUAAGACUUCAAAGAAAAAUAGCUUGACAUAUAUAAAAUGGAGUUAGAGUCUAGGCCUUAGACACAUAAGUGUCUGGCAGGACACUGAAAAGUCUGAUAUUGUGGGACAGUAUUUUAUUGUAUAGGUUUGUUGCAUUGCUCAUGUCUAGCAUCCUAAUUACAUGGUACUAUCUCCCUCUCCCAAUGAUUGUGACAACCUAAAAUUGCCUCACAAAUUUCUAAAACAUUCUAAGAGCCAGUAUUGUUGAGAUGCAUUAGGUUAAGAUGUUUUCUGGCCCUGUAUUUGGUGUGCAGUUGGUUUGACUAGAAUAGACAAGGAUUUGGAGGUCUACAUUUUGUGUGGAGAGUUUGAAAAGACAAAAAAUAACAAAGGUGUGAUGGAGUAAAGAGUAAUGAUUUUCAGAACUCAAAAAAUAAAAGUGUCAGGGGGUCUAAGAAGGGAACAAAUAGGUAGAGAAAACUCUAGUUGGCUCCUACACCAAACUGAAGCCCUUCCUUGCUAAGCUUGGAGGUAACAAAAAAUGAAAGCAAAUGAAAUCUAAGGGAUAGCUUGCAAAGAAAAUAAAAAUAUUAAAGUGAAGUAAAUGAAGUAGUAAAAAUCUGAGCAAUGGUCAGAAAAAUAGGUACAAGUACCAUACUGUAGACAGGCUCUUUAUAAAUCCUUUAUUUGGGUGAGUCUGAGAUUAACUUUAUGGCUUUGUAAGAAAGAAUUUGGUUUCAAAAGAGAAAAAUUGGCAGUGGAAGAAUAAGGAAUCUAAAAGGUAGGGAGAAAUGCUGAUUAGAAAAAGUUUAUUCAGAAAGAACAGUGGUAAUGUAUAUUAUACUAUAUAAAAUGAUGUAUUUUGAGUGCAGGCGCCAAAAAAUAAAAUAAAAUAAUGUAUUUUAACUACUACUAUAUAGAAGAUGUAUUAACUACUACUUUGGGUAUAUUUUGGUUGUAUUUGGCAUUUCUGGCAUGUUCAGCUUAUUGGCUGUGCACAUAUCUGACUCAAAUUCCUACCUUUUGAAGUGAACAUUCUAAGGAAGGGAAGAAGACACUUAUGUAAGUAUGAGCCUAGGGGUGACAGUGUUUGAGAGGUGGUCAAGGAAGGUACUGCUAGUGAGCCAAGACAUGAAGUAAGUAAGGGUGUCUUGCAGAUAGCUAGGGAAUGAAGACUCCAGGCAGAGGCGGGAGCAAGAAGCCUGAAGUGACAGUACUCAGGUCUGCCUGGCCUGUUUGAGAACCAGAAGAAGUGAGGGUGAGAGUUGUAGGAGAUGAGGUUUAGGGCAAUUCAGCCACUAGAAGCACUUAGUUUUUCAUCUGAGUAAGACAGGAAGCCAAUGGGGGUUUUGGGCAAAGGAGUAGCAUGAGCUGAUUUACAUAGUAAAAGAACCACUCUGGCUGCUGUGUGACUACUAGGUUGGGCAGAAGCUGGGAGCCUAGGUGGGAGGCUACUGCAGUAAUCCAAGAGGGAAAUGGUGGUGGCUUGGAUUAGGGUGGAAGCAGCAUUAGUGGUAAGAAGUGCCUAGAUCCUGGAUGCAAUCUGAAGGUAGACCCAGAGGAAUCAAACGUCAUCAAGAUUUUUGGCCUGAGUGUCUGGAAAGGUGGAGUUGUCAUUUACCAAGAGCAGAUUAGAGAUGACCAUGUCAACGAGAAAGGGACAGCAGCCCAGUUUGGGAUAUGUUAAAUUCCAGGUGCCUGUUGGAUAUUCAAGUGACAAUGUUGAGAAGCCAAGUGAAUAUACAAGUGUCAAAUUAAGGGGAGUCAUUUGGACUAGAGAGUUUUUAAGUUAGGAGUCAUUAGCAUAUCGAUGGUAUUUAAAGCCAUGAGGCUUACAUUACAGAAAUGUCCCUGAAAUGUGUGUAAAAUAUUUGUUUUUGUAAUUUGCCUAUUUUAAAGGCAAUAGGAGAACUUGCUAUUUUCAAGUCUGCCAUGAAUCCUUUUUAAAGAAAAAUACACAUUGUCUUUUGAGUAAAUCUCUCAGUCCUUUAUAGAAUUACUUCAUGUCAAGUGCAAUUAUAUCAGGUAAACAGAGUCAUAACUGAAGCAUUCUAUUCAUUUAUUCUUGCUGCUGUAACAACUAACCACAGAUUUAGUGGCUUAAAACCAUAGAAACUGACUCUCACAAUCUUGUCUAGAAAUCUGGAUCGAUACCACUGGUUCAAAAUCAAGGUAUGACAGGGCCAUGCUCCUUCCUGAGGCUCUGGGAGACAAUCUGAUCCUUGCCUCUUCCUGCUUCUGGUGGCUGUGGGCAUUCCUUGGUUUGUGGCCUCAUCUGAUCUCUGCUUUCAGGGCCACAUUGCCUUCUUGUCUCUGGGCGUGUCAAAUCUUCUGCCUUUCUCUUAUAGAGUCUCUUAUGAUUCUUUUUAGGCCUCACCCAGAUAAUCCAGGAUAAUCUCUUCAUUUUAAAUCCUUAAUCACAUCUGCAAAGACUUUUUCCAAUAAGGUAGUAUUUUCAGGUUUCAGGGUGUCAGCCUAACUACAGUCACCUAAGCAAUUUUUAAACUGGGGUUUUGCUAUAAAUGAUUACAUAUGCUUAAUAAGCAAACAUAAUUCCCUCUUUUUCUCUCUGGUAACAUUUAAAAUGUUCCACAAAAAGUCAAAUUACAUGACAUCUUUAUUGCAUCACAUGGCUAAGAAAUACCAUUUCCAGAUCUGUGUCGAUAUCAUUUUAUGAUACUAGGUUAAAUAUGCUUUGGCAUUAAAGAACUACCAUAAACUAUGGUUACACAGUUGUCUCCUCUUAAACGACCCUCCAGAUCAAGGACAAUGUUUUCUUUCAUCACCAAUAUUUCUCUCCAGUGAGUAUAGGUUAUGUAUACUCUCAUAAUCCAUCUCAACACAUUCCAACGUUUUGAUAAUUUUUGUAAAAAUAAGUAAUGCAAUAAAAAGUAAAGCUUUGAUAAACAGUAUUAGCUUAUUUAUUUCAAAAAAGACAAAACUCUAAUAACUUUAGCCACAGAACCUCCAGGUUUUUUUCUAUGUGAAGCAAUUUGUACCAUAUCGUCGUCAGUUAAUUUUUAUUUUAUGAGCAUUUACUGCACGGUACAAGCAAUUACACGUCAAAGGCAUUCUCCGUAUUUAAUAGAGGUCUGAUAUAUGGGUCUACACAAAAGAAUUGCCUUGAGACUUGCUUUGUGUAGUUUUAUUAAGAAUGAAUUUAACAUUUGCUUAGCACCUAGCAAGGACAGACAUA